GGUUAAGCGAAUAAGCGUACACGGUGGAUGCCUAGGCAAUCAGAGGCGAUGAAGGACGUGCUAAUCUGCGAUAAGCGUCGGUAAGGUGAUAUGAACCGUUAUACCCGACGAUUUCCGAAUGGGGAAACCCAAUAUCCAAUGGAUAUUAUCAUUAACUGAAUACAUAGGUUAAUGAAGCGAACCGGGAGAACUGAAACAUCUCAGUACCCCGAGGAAAAGAAAUCAACCGAGAUUCCCCUAGUAGCGGCGAGCGAACGGGGAACAGCCCAGAGUCUUAAUCAAUAGCAGCAUCAG
This 294-nucleotide ribosomal RNA is filed under the name Proteus terrae. RNAcentral's name for it is "partial 23S ribosomal RNA". It matches the Rfam family "Bacterial large subunit ribosomal RNA", at positions 1 to 292 of the family's 2925-position model. The record is from RNAcentral. Lineage: Bacteria; Pseudomonadati; Pseudomonadota; Gammaproteobacteria; Enterobacterales; Morganellaceae.